This 496-nucleotide ribosomal RNA is filed under the name uncultured bacterium. RNAcentral's name for it is "bacterial SSU rRNA". It matches the Rfam family "Bacterial small subunit ribosomal RNA", at positions 30 to 518 of the family's 1533-position model. The record is from RNAcentral.
UGAACGCUAGCGACAGGCCGUAACACAUGCAAGUCGAGGGGCAGCACAAGGAGCAAUCUGAGGUGGCGACCGGCGCACGGGUGAGUAACACGUAUGCAACCUGCCUGUAAGCGGGGAAUAACCCGUUGAAAGACGGACUAAUACCGCAUAAUACUAAAUUACUGCAUGGUAAUUUAUUUAAACAUUUAUGGCUUACAGAUGGGCAUGCGCAUGAUUAGCUAGUUGGAGAGGUAACGGCUCCCCAAGGCAACGAUCAUUAGGGGUUCUGAGAGGAAGGUCCCCCACACUGGUACUGAGACACGGACCAGACUCCUACGGGAGGCAGCAGUGAGGAAUAUUGGUCAAUGGACGAGAGUCUGAACCAGCCAAGUCGCGUGCAGGAAGAAUGUUCCCUAUGGAUUGUAAACUGCUUUUGCAGGGGAAUAAAGUGCAUCACGUGUGAUGUUUUGUAUGUACUCUGCGAAUAAGGAUCGGCUAACUACGUGCCAGCCGCCGC